ACAGUAACCCAGCUGUGUAAAGGCCAGCGCUGCUGAAAUGUUGUCUGGUCAGUCAUAGUUUCUCUGGACAAAGGCUCUGUGCAUCAGAACUUCAGGUAUGAGAUGAAUGGAUGAUGUAUGACUCCAAACAGUCUCUGCUCAGUUCUACUAUGUGAAAUUCAGCUGAUUCCACUAGUGUCACUGUCAUUGACGUCAUGAUUGACAGCUGCUUGUUUGUUAUGCAGGCUUCAAUGUAAAAGGAAGUUUUCAUGCCAGGAAAGUAGGUAACAGAUAACCGAGCGUCUCUUUCCUGUGCCGUCUCUUCAGUCACACGUUCAGCAGUCGCUCUGCUUCAGCUAACGCCUGUGUUUACACCACAGAGCUCCUGUAAACCUCCCGUCACGUCCAGAUCCUCCGGGAGAACGUUUCUCUGAAGCAGACGUUUGUUGUCUGUGAGUCUGUCAGUGUAAAUGUUAAGCGGCUGGGAAAGAGAGGCCUGCGUCCUGUAGGGUCAUUAAACGCUUCCUCUUCCUCCGUCUGUGUUCUCGCUCGUCUUCAGUCUCACAGUGAAACACGUCACACGUCACAGGGAUGUCAUUGCUCGUGUUAGUUAUCAGGAUGAGUAAAGUGGGCCGUUGAAGUGAGGUGAACCUCGUUGUUUGACAUCAAUUCAAUCUCUAAAAAAGGCUCCCAUAGAUAUUUCAGAGAUCAUUGUGUCACCGUUCAAUCGUGUCGUUCCAUAAUUUGAAACUAAAAUAAAAAUCUAGAUGUCAGUUAGAUAAAUUAGUUAUCAGUCUGCAUGUGCUGCAUCGCAUAACAUCUUUGCUAUGUCCUUUGAAGGCAUCCACAUACAUAAGAAUUGAAGUAGAAGCAACUCGACCUGUUUUACAGAAUACAGAAGUAGUUGCUCAUAUCCCACACUGACUUCCAGUGAAUGAACAAACUGUGUUUCACAGAAGAACGUCAUCAAAGUCAUAACCACCAUCAAGUCAUCUUUAUUUAUAUAGCGCUUUAAACAAAAUACAUUGCGUCAAAGCACUGAACAACAUUCAUUAGAAAUAAUGCAGAAUGAUAGUUAAAGGCAGUUCAUCAUUGAAUUCAGUGAUGUCAUCUCUGUUCAGUUUAAAUAGUGUCUGUGAAUUUAUUUGCAAUCAAGUCAAUGAUAUCGCUGUAGAUGAAGUGAAACAGACUAAUAUUAGCGUAGAUGCCAUUCUUCUAAUGAUGUAGCAAGUACAUCGGGUGUUAUGUGAAGUGUUCCGGUUCUGGUUUACCUAAUUAAUGCAGCCUAAAAAUCAGAUUUGGAUAUUAAAAGCAUAUUAGUAUGUUAUGUGUAAGCCAGGUUAAAGAGAUGGGUCUUUAAUCUAGAUUUAAACUGCAAGAGUGUGUCUGCCUCCCGAACAAUGUUAGGUAGGUUAUUCCAGAGUUUAGCCGCCAAAUAGAUUUUGUAUAAUGCAUAAUAAUCUCCCAGUUCUGCCAUUAUUUUAAAAAGUCUGAAGCUUUGGAGCUGUGCUGGAUGAUAAAGUGUGUCCAUGUUCUUGUGUUGUGUUUCUGAGGAUGGGGGCCACACCUCGUGGUUCACCACAUCCCUGUUGAGUGUGUGUGGAGCAGGAGCUGAGUGUGUGUGGAGCAGGAGCUGAGUGUGUGUGGAGCAGGAGCUGAGUGUGUGUGGAGCAGGAGCUGAGUGUGUGUGGAGCAGGAGCUGAGUGUGUGUGGAGCAGGAGCUGGUGCACGCCGUCACUGCCAGGGAGUUUUUGCCCAGAACAGAACCAUGCUGCCAAUCCAGACCGUGUGCUAAUUGUCUAUCAUCUUUGACGAUAGUGGUCCUGACAGAAAUACCAUUUCAAAGCAGCGAGUUAGAAGAAUGUGCUAAAUAUAUUUUUACUAAAUUCAAUUUUAAUAACAUAAACUCUGGCAGUCCUACAGAACAUGUUAAGUCUUUCUUUUCUCUCCAAUCUCCCCCAGAGUCUUGUUUGAAAACCCUUUUAAAUGUCUCCGUCAGGACUGAUGGAGAACAGUACAGGAGCUGUGAUGAGACGGAAACGACGGGAGUCAGAGAGACUCACAGAUGACGGCGAGGACAGCGAGGUUACACUCCUCUCUGGAGGGAUAGCGAGCAGAAAUUGCAGCGUUUCAUGUCUUUGUUUAUGACAGCUUUGAAUAAAUUUGUGUGAGUCACACUGUUGAA
Molecule: long non-coding RNA, 2164 nt
Organism: Carassius gibelio (silver crucian carp)
Lineage: Eukaryota; Metazoa; Chordata; Actinopteri; Cypriniformes; Cyprinidae
Exons: 2
Source: RefSeq, a predicted model, not a curated record